UGCAUGUCUUUGGUUGCCUCUCAUGCAUGUUUGCCAUCCCCUUAAAGCAACGGCUCCCCCUGCUUGCGCGCCCCGGCCGGGCCUUCGUUGGUACCACUCGAUCCCAUAAGAGGUCGCUAUCUCAUCUCAAGCUUUCUUGUCCGUAAUGCUGUCAUCUACUUGCUGCUGAGCUUCACAUCAUCCCUUGGCCCAUAAUCACCAGCAUGUUCUCUCUGGUAAGUAUUCAUGCAUAACUAUUCCUCCCUUCUUUUGCCACGUCAUUAACUAACCUAGUUAAUAUAUAUCGCAUGGUUGCUCUUUUAAUAAAUUUUACCUGAUGGCUCGAGAUAUAUGCAACCAGGCUAGAGACCUAGCAAGAUUAUCUUUGUAGAUAUAUCCUUCUGAAGAAAAUGAUAUGCUUUGCUUUUAAAUUCAUUUCUUACCUUAAUUAAUUUGUAUGCAACUAUCUGAAUGUAAUCUUAUGAAAGUAGAGUUAUUGUUUUCCCUGAUUGAUAGAGCUAUACCUUGCUCCUUCUCAAGGGAAGUUUUAUGAGUAGCUAGCUAGUUGGAUGGCAGAUUAUCCAAACCUGUCAUAAACUCAUAAUGUUACCGCUCCAUGCUAAUAUGUAGCAUGGAUAAUUUUCACCCAUCGUCGUUUUCAAGUUUGUUGAAGUGAUUCACACAUGACAUGUGUUUAUUAUGUAUGAUGUCAAGUUAAGUUGGGGUUUUUCCUCUUUAGCAUACUGAUCUAACAUGAUAAUCACUGUUUUUGAACUAAGCUGUUUCUUUCCAAUCAAAUUUGUAAAUAUUAUUGUUCUGCUCUAGAACUGUCCGUUCCCUGUGACUAUAUGACGUGUGUUGUAGUGAGUUAUGUGUUAUCUACUUCAGUACUUGUUUUCGGUAUCAUUUCUGUGCUAGUAGCGAGAAUCUUGACAGAGACCAACAUUCCUCACUGAUUCCAUGAGUUAUUCCAGGACUCUGCCUGGGAGAAUGCCUGAUUGUAUUUCCUUGUUGAUGUAGGUACUCUCAUAGUAUAGUAGAACAUAACCCGCGUUGAACUUGAUAAAACAAUGCAAAGAACAUGUUAGACUAAAAUUCCUGGUUCAUCAUUAAGAAAUAACUGAACAUGCAUCCAGAGACCUAGGUAACUUUCUAGGUGAUACGCCUGAGCUGCAUAUAAUCCGAAGUUGGUUUUUGUCUAUCCCAUAGCCCUUUGUUUACAUGAAAGAAAGAAUUAGCAGAUGAUGAGCUGAAUGCAUACUCACAUGCAUCCAUACAGAGAAGAAUGAUGGCCCAUCCUUUGGACCACAGAGGUAGAACGAUUAGUCAUCCUUAUUUAGAUUAAGUAAGUGUCACACACAGUAUUUAGAUCUUUUCUUGUUUAUUUCAAUGUAAUUUAAUGUUCUUCUGUGAUCUACUUGUUCUUGAUAAUCUCUAUACUAAAUUAGCUGGUAGAUUUUAAAAUUGUUACUGUACUUGUAUCGAGAAAAAGCAUGGAAGUACUAGAAACAUUUAAGGCCACGAGUAUAUAUAAACAUCUUCUUAGAAUCAUAACAAGGUCAAGUUCUUUUUUUUUGCGGGGUGAUAACAAGGUGAAGUUGAUCUGCUGAACUUUUUUGUUCUAUGACACGUGGUUUAUAGCAAGAAAAUCCUAUAGGAUAUGUUUUAUCUAUAAGACAGUCCUUGUGUAAGCCAGUUAAUUCUUCACUACUCUGUUGUACACAUGGUCUCAGCAGGAAAUAGACAUUUUGGUAGUGCAAAUGGCAUGACAGUAGAGCAUUAGACACUGGUGUAGAUGAGACAAUUCGUUUUUUUUGGGUUUCAUAAAACAUAUGUACAUUAUAUGCAUUAUAUUAUAUAUAUGAUAUGAUUUAAGAAUUUUGAGUUAGCAAAAUUGUCACGAAACUAUUUCUCUUCAGGUAAAAUGCCAUGUAAAAAAGAAUAUAAAUGAGCAUUGAUGUUUGUGCAUACUGGUACAGGCAUGGUUGUCAAGUUCAUUGAAAAACCAACAGCUUAUACAAUCGCAUCACCUUCUACAAAUCAUACUUGAUGAAGUUUCUAUGUUCUCCAUGCUCUUAUUUCGUAUAUGUAGCAACACGGUGAUCAUUAUAUUUAGUACAACGCACUGAAACACGUAAGCAGCGUACAGUACUACACACAUCAUAUUACAGUCUUAUAUUUACAUGGUACUAUGUAAAUCAAAUUACUUAUCUGUCCAAUAAUUGAUAUCACAUGAUGAUCAUCAUCAUCCUUAUUAUUAUAGCUCCUUAAGAUAAUAAUUAUGUAUGAGAUACUAUAUUUGAUUAAGGGCAUCGUCACUUCCAUGGAUCAACUUGACUGCUUGAUGUCGAGGUGGACGCAUAAUCAGUUGCCCCCUCUUGCUUCUCGUUGAGCUGAAGAAUGCCUCCAUCAGUAUAAUCUACACCCUUGGUCGCAUCAUUACUAAGCUGGGAUGCAACAAACUUGUCCAGGACUCUCCAGUCAGUAGUGGAUUGGUCGACAGCUGCAUGAUCGAUAAGUUGAACAUGGUGGUGGGCAUUGACUUGGUGAUCAUCGGGCGAUACCAAAAGAGAAUGGAAGGAAGAUGUCUCUAGGUCAUGAGGAAUAAUGGUGCUGAGGACAUCGUGAUGAUGAUGGUUUGGCAUUUGGAAUUGUAGCUUCAGUUCCCUCUUGUAGGUGUUGUUGAGCAUCUGGAGGUGUUGUUCUUGCAGCGCCGCCAUGCUGUGGUGAGGGGGCAUUAUUCCGUUCAUCGUCGGAGCGUUGAGGUCAUGCAUGAAGGGCCCAUCGUCAUCGACAUACCAGCAGGGUGCAUCAUGGUCCAGAUCCCUUCUUGUUGCCGGUAAUCUCUUCUUGAACACCCUGCAUACUACCCAACCUUCUUCCUGAAAUUAAUCAAUAUACAUGGUCAAUCGAUCAGGUUAGCUGGAGGGCUACUUAAUUUAAACACCGACAAACAACAUUUGGGAGUUGAGACAAGACGUAGAUGUAUAAAUUGGAGUAUAGCUUAAAAAUUGCUUGCCUGUGGAGGGCCAUUCUCGUUGGUCUCGAGGCGGUACUCGUGCAUGAUCCAGUCGGACUUGUGGCCAUUGGGAGCCCUGCCUUUGUAGUAGACGAGGGUCUUCCUCAUGCCAACCAAGCAGUGCUUUGCAUAGAUGGGCUUGUCUCUCCCCGUCGCCUUCCAGAACCCCGCCGCGGUUGCCCGGUUUGUCCGAGUCCCUGUUGGGUAUUUCUUGUCCUUGUGGCUGAAGAAGUACCAAUCGCUCUGCUCCUCCUCAGGACCUAUCCUACAUUUCUCUGCAUAUAGGAAUGAAUGAAGGAAUGUAC
RNAcentral lists this long non-coding RNA (3303 nucleotides) under Brachypodium distachyon (stiff brome). RNAcentral's name for it is "long non-coding RNA (BDIS_LNC001017)". The record is from RNAcentral. Lineage: Eukaryota; Viridiplantae; Streptophyta; Magnoliopsida; Poales; Poaceae.